UUUAAGUUGAACAAAACAAACAACUUAAUACUUAUUUUCUGAGAUUCAGACAAAAAAACAAACAUAUUAUUCAGAUUCAGAUAUUCAGAUCUAUUUAAAAUUCAGACUAAUUCAUGUCUAUUCAGAUUUCAGACAAAAAAACAAACGCCACCUAAGCAUAGAAUAUUAGAUAAAAAAAAAGUGUCAUAAGAUGGUCAUCAGCUUAUGCUUAGCUAAUUUCUCUUUAAUUGCUAUAUUGCCUAGUUAAUCAUAUGAAAAAUGUGAUCAUAAACAUUAAAUUAUGGAUAAGGAUUUAGUGUUGAGUUAACUUUUUAUUGAGCACUGAAUCAAUAAUUGUUAGGUAAGAGAAAUAAAUAAAUAAAAAUUUCAAAUAAAUCUUGAUCACUGAUUCAGUACUCAGCAAAAAAAAAAAGAAGCUCAGAACUGAAUCAUAAUCCUAAAAUUAUAAGAAGCUCAGUAAAAUAGCAUAAAUAUAUAUACUAGAUUCAUAAACUCGUAGUACACAUUUGAAGCUAUACAGGAUUCCAUAUCCAUGUCCUGCAUGAACUCCUUUUAUUUAUUAUUUUAUUUGUAUGUUAUGUGUGUUGGGUAGCUUCAUGUAACCAGCAAGGGCCAUAUCAUUCGUCGUCCCACAUCACCUGCAUGCUGAGUGCCACGGUAGUCAACAGUAGCAAUGAGGUCAGUAUUCUUAUCCAGCAAGCCGACACUUGCGCCUAAACCGAAACUGCCCCAUCCGUAACUGGAUUUAUUGGAUUGCUGAAUAGCACUGUAGGACCCAAACUGGGGUCUGACUCUCUUGGUUGGCUGCGGCAGGGACAUUGUAAACAAAGGAAAUAAGGAGCUUAGGGUUUUUCUUUAGUUCUGUUUUUGUUUGCCUGGUAAUCAAAUCGAGUUUUGAAAUAUAUAUAGAGGCAACGUGCAAGUGGGAUUCCCUCGCUUUAAUUGAAUCAUCUUUGAAUAUGAUUCUGCAAUUGGAUAAUGAUAGUCACUAAUUCGAAGCUUGUUGAAAAAUAAGAAAACCACUUGCAUUUUGCUAACAAAUGUCAAGGUUAGCCGAAAUGUUGGAUUCAAAUUUGGAGAAUUUUUCAAGAUUGGCCAAAGAAAUACCAAACUCCUUGACAUAUUUGCAUGGGUUAGGUGGAAUAAUACUAAAUUCAAGCCUAUAAAUUGAAGCCAUUUCUUCAUUUAAUAGCAUCCCAAAAAUUGUUAAGCUUAUAAGUUUCUAAGCUUUUGAGAGAAGUGAGAGAAGUGUGUCUGGGGAAUUUAUCUUUCUUGCAGAGUGUGAGAGUACCGGAUAUAUUUGGGUUUCUGGGAAGUGAGAUUCGUUACUCAAAUAUUUAUACUUUAUUAAUUGUUAAAUAAACAAUUAUUCUUUCUUACCUCCGUGAAUGUAGGUUUAAUUACGGAACCACGUAAUUCUUGUGUCCUUUAUUUUUUUAUAAUUAUUUGGUGCGCUUGAUUCCGUAUUUCGCGCACAACAAGUGGUAUCAGAGCCGACGGUUCGUAUACAUACUGUUCACGUAUACGGUACUAUUCCCGUAUACGGUACUGUUCACGAAUACGGUGAAGACGGCCAUUUGUACUUGGGAGACAGUCUAUUGUAAGUAGUGUGUAUUUUUGCAUGUCUAUAAAAGUUCUAUCAACAAAGACGAUAAUAGUCUAAGGAUUCUGGUGUUUAAUUGGGACCGAGUUCCCGUCCAGUCUCCUGGAAACUUUCCUGGUGCAUUUAUUCAUGCGAAAUUAACAUCAUAGAGACUGUUUUUCAAGUGGAAAUAGUUCGUUGAGAAAAUGGUAGAAGGUGAAACUUCCAGAAUUGGAGAGAGAUCUACCGAGACUAUUUCAGGAGACACUUCAUGUGGGAGGCGAGAUUUGUCAAAUCGAUAUUCAUCACAUGUUAUAGGAGGCUAGAAAAUCGAUAUUGAAAAGUUUGAUGGGAAAAUCAACUUCGACAUGUGGAGGCGCGAAGUUAUGGAUGCUCUUAUUCAAAUCGAUCUUGAUGUUGUUUUGAAAAAUAAAAGACACUUGUAUGAUGAAGAGAUUUGGGAUCGUAUGAAUGAGAAAGCUUGUGGUCAGAUCAGAUCUUGUUUGACCAAAGAGGUGAAAUACUUGGUGAAAAAUGAGGAGUGUGCGGUGACUUUGUGGCGUACAUUGGAGGAGAAGUACCUGGUGAAAAGUCCUGAAAAUCGUCUUCAUGCAAUCAGCCAAGUAUAUGGUUUUCGAAUGAAGUCUGUGAUGUCAAUGCACGAUCAUGUCUUAAGAUUUGAAAAGUUACUUGCUAAUUUGAAGAAUCUUGAUGAAGAUAUUAAGGAUGAAGUUAAGGCUAUGAUUCUGUUACACUUACUACCAGAGGAAUAUAGCCAUUUUGUGACUACUUUGAUAUAUGGGAAGAGUGUAAUCGUCUUUAAAGAUGUUUAGACAGCAUUAACUAGCUUAGAGAUUCGGAAUAAUGAUAAAAAUUCUGAACGAGCAUCAUCUGAAGCUUUGGUGGGCAGAGAUUGGGUGAUGGAGAAACAGAAGAAACGUGGUGGAAAGAAUUCUCGAUCCAAAUCGAGAAGCAGAAAUAUAACUCAAGACGAGUGUGCCUUUUGUCAUGAAAAGGGCCAUUGGAGGAAAGAUUGUCCAAAGGCUCAAAAGAGAGAUGGGAAGAAACUAGCAGCAACAAACAUGGCACGGAAAGAUGAAGACUCUAAUUAUUCACUAAGUAUUACUCCUGCAGCAUACGUGGCUAGUUCGAGCGAGUGGAUACUUGAUACUGGAACAACCUAUCAUUUGUGUCCUAUUAAGGAAUGGUUUACGGAUUUUCAUAAUCUGAAAUCCGGUGCAGUUGUGAUGAGAAAUGAUCAACCUUGUUGCACAAUGAGGAUAAGAACAAUUCGACUCAAAAUGUUUGAUGGAAUGAUCAGAGAACUCAAAGAGGUUAGAUUUGUUCCAGUUUUAAAGAAAAAUCUAAUUUCUGUGGAUGCUUUGGAAGCUAAAGGCUACAAUGUUACCAUUGAAGAUGGCACAAUAAAGUUUACACAUGGGGUUAUGGUGAUUCUGCAAAGGGUUCGGCGUCACAAUCUGUACUAUUUGAAGGGAGGUACAGCUGAUGAAGCAAAUGUUGCUGAGACGCACAGUGACACUACCAAGCUAUAGCAUGUACGACUGGGACAUGCUAGAGAGAAGUCUUUACAAACUCUGAUGAGGCAUGGACUCUUAAAAGGUACCAAAACCUGUAAAUUAAAUUUCUGUGAGUAUUGUGUAGUAGGCAAGAAAACAAUGGUCAAGUUUGGUAAAGCUAAUCACGAUACUCGUGAGAUCCUUGAAUAUGUUCAUAGUGAUGUAUGGGGACCAACCAAAACUACAUCAAUUGGUGGAAGCCAUUAUUUUGUUACAUUUGUUGAUGAUUUCUCUAGACGUGUGUUGGUGUACACUAUACGAGCAAAGGAUGAGGUUCUAGAGAUUUUCGUGAAAUGGAAGAAAUUGGUGGAGACUCAAACUGGCAAAAAAAUCAAAGUAUUACGAUCUGAUAAUGGAGGUGAAUAUACUUCUGAUCCAUUCUUGCAAGUAUGCCAGAACAAGGGUAUUAAAAGACAUUUCACGGUGAGACAUACUCCGCAACAGAACGGUGUGGCUGAGCGUAUGAAUCGUACUUUACUGGAGAAAGUACAGUGUAUGUUAUCUAAUGCUGGUUUAGAUAAAAAGUUUUUGGCUGAAGCUGUGAGCUACGCAAGUCACUUGGUAAAUCGGUUGCCUUCUACUGUAAUUGGAGGUAAAACUCCUAUGGAAAUGUGGUCUAGAAAGCAUGCACAAGACUAUGAUUCCCUUCGUAUAUUCGGGUGUCCAGCUUAUUAUCAUGUCAAAGAUGGUAAACUGGAUGCUCGUGCUAGAAAAGCUAUUUUUGUGGAAUUCAAAGGUGGAGUAAAGGGCUUCAAGCUCUGGGAUCUCGAAGACAAAAAGUUUGUGUGUAGCAGAGAUGUCACAUUUGAUGAAGCUUCAAUGAUGAAAGCUUCAAGUUCUCAGUAGGUGGAGAACAAGACCAAAGAGGUAUUGCAGUGGGUGGAGUUUAAUGCAACUCCAUAUUUACCAGUUAGUUCUACAUCAAAGAAGGGUUCAACUAUGGAGGUGACACCUAGAGUUGAAGAAGAGGUUGUUUCUUCUGAUGUCCCACAAAAUUAAGAAACAAUUGAUGAUGAUGAUUUUAUAGCAACAAGGAAGCCAAGAAGAGAGAUAAAGAAACCUGGAUGGCUUACUAAAGAUAUGGUGGUAGCUUAUACACUUCCAGUUAUUGAUGAUGACAUCCCUAACACUUUCGGUGAAGUAUUACGCAGCAGUGAAAGUGAUCAGUGGAAGUUAGCCAUGGAGGAAGAGAUGAAAUCUCUCCAUCAAAACCAGACUUGGGAACUUGUAAAGUUACCAAAGGGGAAAAGGGCUAUUGGUAAUAAAUGAGUCUACACCAAAAAGCAAGGAUCUUCGACUCAAACAACUCCUCGAUACAAGGCAAGGCUCGUGGCAAAAGGUUUUGCUCAAAAGGAAGGUAUUGACUACAAUGAAGUUUUCUCUCCAGUUGUAAAACAUACUUCCAUUCAUAUCCUACCUGCCUUAGUUGCAAAAUAUGAGUUAGAGUUGACUCAAUUGGAUGUUAAGACGGCGUUCUUACAUGGAGAUUGGAGGAGGAAAUCUAUAUGAUUCAGCCUUGUGGUUUCAAAGUUGUUGGAAAGGAAAAUCGUGUGUGCAGAUUGAGUAAAUCUUUAUAUGGAUUGAAACUAAUUCUUCGAAUACGUUGAGUUUGGAGAAUUUUGAACUACAGUUGGCUUGAUCCCAAAUUUUGGGUACGUAGGCAGUUAUAGAGAUGCAGCCACUUUGGAGAUGAUGGUUCGUUGGUAGUUGGCUCAGAUUUGGACAAAUUUUCGCCGAAGUGGAGAAUUGUUGAAAAAUAAGAAAACCACUUGCAUUUUGCUAACAAAUGUCAAGGUUAGCCGAAAUGUUGGAUUCAAAUUUGGAGAAUUUUUCAAGAUUGGCCAAAGAAAUACCAAACUCCUUGACAUAUUUGAAAUAUAAGUGUGCAACCCAAGAGGGGGGUGAAUUGGAAUUUUAAAAAUUAUCCUAGCAAAUCCACACAAUAAGCAAUCUAAUGUCUUAAUAAAAAUUGAAAGCAAUAAGUUCAAUAAAAGCACAACAACUAAUGAGUAAGGGAGAAGAGAAACAAACACACGAAUUUUUACGUGGUUCGUCAAAUCCCGCCUACGUCCACGCCUCCAAGCGAUCCAAGCUUGAGGAUUUCACUAUCCAAGCCUUUCCAAGACUUUAACAGUUUACAAUUGACUUCAAGGUGUCAAUAAACCUUUACAACAAAGAGAUUAUCUCCCAAUCUCUUCACUCAAGUGUCUCACACACUCAAACUCUUACAAUUAAGAUGAAGAAAUGAAAGUUACAAUGAAACUCACUCAAUGAGUAGAUAUUCAAAAAUGAAGAACAAGAAAUGAUUCAAUGUUUUGUGUUUUGCAAGUUGAAGGCUUACGAUAUCUCGUGUGCUUUUUGCUUUUGUUUGUAUGGAACCUUGAAAAUGNNNNNNNNNNNNNNNNNNNNNNNNNNNNNNNNNNNNNNNNNNNNNNNNNNNNNNNNNNNNNNNNNNNNNNNNNNNNNNNNNNNNNNNNNNNNNNNNNNNNGUUUUUGUUUGUGGAAAAGCUGAAAAAUGAGUGGAUUUUGAGUUUAUAUAGUUUGAGCUCAAAAACUAACUGUUAUGCACAUUUUGGUCGUAACCGGCUUGCCGUUUAUGGACAUCUGGUUAGCUGCUUAAGGUUACCGUUACAGCCACAAUUUUGAAUUUCUGAACAUCCGGUAUGCUGCUUUGUCAAAUUCGGAUAGCCGCUUAUACUCAAAAGCUUACUGCCUAACAAUCGGAUUACCGUUUGUUAGGAUCUGGUUAGCUGCUUGCUACAGUAACUGCUACAGUGAAAUAUUUUUUAAUUUUACAGUUUGACCCCAAAACUUUAUAAAAAUUAUAUUAUGGCUCAAAACGUUAUGAAACUUUGCAAAUAGGUCCAAUUUCAGAAUUUCUAAAUAUUACUUUGUCAAUCCCAAAACUUUCUAAAAUUAUGAUUUCACUCAAACUAUGUGAAAUUAUAGAAUGACCCAAAAUAUUUAAAUAGUUUCAAAUAGGUCCAAAUCCAAAAUUUAAAACAAUAUCAAAGGUUUUAAAAUACAUUCAUUUUAGUCCAAAACACUUUGAUUCCAUAACAUCAUUUUCUUAUUAUAAAAACACAAUUCAUAAAUCUUUGUUUAAUCAAUACAUGUGGUUUGUUAUCAUCAAAAUCAAUAUCUAUAGCCAUAUAAGCUAACAAUAUUUGCAUGGGUUAGGUAGAAUAGUGUUUGGGUUAGGUGGAAUAGUACUAAAUUCAAGCCUAUAAAUUGAAGCCAUUUCUUCAUUUAAUAGCAUCCCAAAAAUUGUUAAGCUUAUAAGUUUCUAAGCUUUUGAGAGAAGUGAGAAAAGUGUGUCUGGGGAAUUUAUCUUUCUUGCAGAGUGUGAAAGUACUGAGUAUAUUUGGGUUUGUGGGAAGUGAGAUUCGUUACUCAAAUAUUUGUACUCUAUUAAUUGUUAAAUAAACAAUUAUUAUUUCUUGCCUCCGUGGAUGUAGGUUUAAUUACCGAACCACGUAAUUCUUGUGUCUUUUAUUUUUCUAUAAUUAUUUGGUGCGCUUAAUUCUGCAUUCCGCGCACAACAAAGCUAUCAUUUAUUUGAUCGCAUGUGUGAUAAUAUUUUUUCAGAAUAAGUUUUGGCUCUUAUUCUGAAAAAUAAAUAGGUAAAGUAAUUAUUCUUUCGUGACUGAAAUUAUAUGAUGAAUUCAAGUUAGCUAUAAAUCAAAAUUUUAGUCUCUUUCAACCAAUGUUAUCUUGCCUUUGAUCACAACGUUUUGGGCGGACAUGACAUCGUAGCUGAAACCUCAACCAUACCGCAGUGAUUGAGGUCUUGACUAUUGAGAAGUGAAGGAGCCAAAAUUCCUUUAAAACCUGCAGUCACGAUUCGCUUCAUUAUCUUCAAGCUUCCAAACCUUCAAACAUCGGUACUGGCAGGCACUCAACCCUCAAAUCAACAUUUGAUUAAUCAGAUAAUAGAAAAAACUCUGAAGAAAAAUAUAGUUUUGAGUCCUGAGAGCGUCUAUCCCACUCUCUACUCUAUUCAUGAGAGAGAUUCUGGUAAUUCCUUUGAAAAAAAUUUUAUGUCUUGAUUCCUUUCAGUUAAUUCAAGGCCACCGUUUAUGGGCACUUUCAGCUAGAGGGAGAUUAAAUCUUUGAAUCUAUUCUCAGGCAUUCUUUUAUUUUUUGCAUUAAUCUGGUCUUUUUCGGUUAUUUAUUUCUUGCCAGGUGUUAAUUGACUUACAAGUCUUUGUGAUACUG
RNAcentral lists this long non-coding RNA (7377 nucleotides) under Citrus x clementina. RNAcentral describes it as "Citrus clementina (C. clementina) long non-coding RNA (CCLE_LNC000899)". Lineage: Eukaryota; Viridiplantae; Streptophyta; Magnoliopsida; Sapindales; Rutaceae. The record is from RNAcentral.